GAGCGGUAACGAUCCUAGCUUGCUAUGAGGCGUCGAGCGGCGGACGGGUGAGUACUGCAUAGGAAUCUGCCCGGUAGUGGGGGAUAACCUGGGGAAACUCAGGCUAAUACCGCAUACGUCCUACGGGAGAAAGGGGGCCUUGGCUCCCGCUAUCGGAUGAGCCUAUGCCGGAUUAGCUGGUUGGUGAGGUAAUGGCUCACCAAGGCGACGAUCCGUAGCUGGUCUGAGAGGAUGAUCAGCCACAUCGGGACUGAGACACGGCCCGAACUCCUACGGGAGGCAGCAGUGGGGAAUAUUGGACAAUGGGGGCAACCCUGAUCCAGCCAUGCCGCGUGUGUGAAGAAGGCCCUCGGGUUGUAAAGCACUUUCAGUGAGGAAGAACGCCUGGCGGUUAAUACCCGCCAGGAAAGACAUCACUCACAGAAGAAGCACCGGCUAACUCCGUGCCAGCAGCCGCGGUAAUACGGAGGGUGCAAGCGUUAAUCGGAAUUACUGGGCGUAAAGCGCGCGUAGGUGGCUUGAUAAGCCGGUUGUGAAAGCCCCGGGCCUC
Molecule: ribosomal RNA, 550 nt
Filed under: uncultured bacterium
Lineage: Bacteria
Description: bacterial SSU rRNA
Rfam family: Bacterial small subunit ribosomal RNA
Source: RNAcentral